UAAAUUUAGAGUUUGAUCCUGGCUCAGGACGAACGCUGGCGGCGUGCUUAACACAUGCAAGUCGAGCGAUGAAGCUUCCUUCGGGAGGUGGAUUAGCGGCGGACGGGUGAGUAACACGUGGGUAACCUGCCUCAAAGUGGGGGAUAGCCUUCCGAAAGGAAGAUUAAUACCGCAUAAUAUAAGAGAAUCGCAUGAUUUUUUUAUCAAAGAUUUAUUGCUUUGAGAUGGACCCGCGGCGCAUUAGCUAGUUGGUAAGGUAACGGCUUACCAAGGCAACGAUGCGUAGCCGACCUGAGAGGGUGAUCGGCCACAUUGGAACUGAGACACGGUCCAGACUCCUACGGGAGGCAGCAGUGGGGAAUAUUGCGCAAUGGGGGAAACCCUGACGCAGCAACGCCGCGUGGGUGAUGAAGGUCUUCGGAUUGUAAAGCCCUGUUUUCUAGGACGAUAAUGACGGUACUAGAGGAGGAAGCCACGGCUAACUACGUGCCAGCAGCCGCGGUAAUACGUAGGUGGCGAGCGUUGUCCGGAUUUACUGGGCGUAAAGGGUGCGUAGGCGGAUGUUUAAGUGGGAUGUGAAAUCCCCGGGCUUAACCUGGGGGCUGCAUUCCAAACUGGAUAUCUAGAGUGCAGGAGAGGAAAGCGGAAUUCCUAGUGUAGCGGUGAAAUGCGUAGAGAUUAGGAAGAACACCAGUGGCGAAGGCGGCUUUCUGGACUGUAACUGACGCUGAGGCACGAAAGCGUGGGUAGCAAACAGGAUUAGAUACCCUGGUAGUCCACGCCGUAAACGAUGGAUACUAGGUGUAGGGGGUAUCAACUCCCCCUGUGCCGCAGUUAACACAAUAAGUAUCCCGCCUGGGGAGUACGGUCGCAAGAUUAAAACUCAAAGGAAUUGACGGGGGCCCGCACAAGCAGCGGAGCAUGUGGUUUAAUUCGAAGCAACGCGAAGAACCUUACCUGGACUUGACAUCCCUUGCAUAGCCUAGAGAUAGGUGAAGCCCUUCGGGGCAAGGAGACAGGUGGUGCAUGGUUGUCGUCAGCUCGUGUCGUGAGAUGUUAGGUUAAGUCCUGCAACGAGCGCAACCCUUGUUAUUAGUUGCUACCAUUAAGUUGAGCACUCUAAUGAGACUGCCUGGGUAACCAGGAGGAAGGUGGGGAUGACGUCAAAUCAUCAUGCCCCUUAUGUCCAGGGCUACACACGUGCUACAAUGGUAGGUACAAUAAGACGCAAGACCGUGAGGUGGAGCAAAACUUAUAAAACCUAUCUCAGUUCGGAUUGUAGGCUGCAACUCGCCUACAUGAAGCUGGAGUUGCUAGUAAUCGCGAAUCAGAAUGUCGCGGUGAAUACGUUCCCGGGCCUUGUACACACCGCCCGUCACACCAUGAGAGCUGGUAACACCCGAAGUCCGUGAGGUAACCGUAAGGAGCCAGCGGCCGAAGGUGGGAUUAGUGAUUGGGGUGAAGUCGUAACAAGGUAGCCGUAGGAGAACCUGCGGCUGGAUCACCUCCUUU
Molecule: ribosomal RNA, 1512 nt
Filed under: Clostridium botulinum
Lineage: Bacteria; Bacillati; Bacillota; Clostridia; Eubacteriales; Clostridiaceae
Description: bacterial SSU rRNA
Rfam family: Bacterial small subunit ribosomal RNA
Source: RNAcentral